GCGCCGGGCGGCGGGGCCGCUCCCCCGGCUGCGGCUCUGCGGGCGGACGGGAGGCGACUACCGCGGCCACCGCUGCCUGCCCGCCGCUGCCCGCCGCUGCCCGCCGCUCUCCGGCGCCUGCCCGGCCGCGGCUCUCAGCUCGCCCCGCAGAGCCGGGCGGGUGCUGCGGCCGGGGAGCUCGGCAUCGCUAUUAGUGCUGCGCGGCGCGGCCCCGGCUCUCCGGUUUCAUUUCCUUUUUCCUGAUCACGAUUCAAAUACAAUAGAAGGAAAUCACGCUUAAAGAGACAGCUGCCCGUUUCUUAACUGGACUCCUGGGGGUUUAGCAACACAAACAGCGGCAUCACGACUCGCUCGGCUUCUUAAAGAGACAGAGCUCGGGCUCUCUGCAGCCGGGGUUGCGAGCUGACGCUGCGUUUUCACAUCGCGACGUCACGGAGCAGCACCGCACCGCUGCUCGGGGCUCCCGGGGAGGUGCGCGACCUGAAAGCAUCCGACGGGCUGAGGGAAACCUCGGCCGGCUCCGAGCUGUCGGCACCCCGGCCCCACGCGGAAUCACACGGGACGUCACGCUCCCUCUCCUCGUCCUUUCCAGCCCCUACACACGCCCUACACCACGCACAUUUCGCUACGGCACCUGGAGAUCGGGCGCUGGGUCAGAACUCGAGUGCUGUUUUCUACCUAGAGCGCAAAUCGGUCACCUAAACUGUGCUUCCCUUGUAUCUCGUUGUGUCCCAGAGUCACUGGUCGCUGGUGUCUGCUUCCAGAUGCCCCCGAGUUCUCGCUAAAAAGCAUGAAAGAUAAACAUCCUUUGAAUUCCUGACCCCUCUAUGAAAAUGAAUUACAAGAUGUGGAAACACUUUGAAACUGAUAGAAGUAUCUCUGCCUCAGAUCUCUCUCCCUCUCUGUCUGUUAAUCAAAACAAGGCACUGUAAUCAGCUCCGAUUCUAGGUCUAUCUGUAGGGAACAAAGUGAACUUAGAAAAUUAAAUCAUUUAGCAUUUCGCAUUUCCUUCCUCAUUUCAGCACCGAUUGAGCCUAUUUCACAAUUUCUCCCCCUUCUGCAGCUAUUCAGUGGCCUGCAAGGGCUGUCAGUGCUGUUGCAGAUCAGCAGCUUGGCAGGAAGACACCGACUGUUCCUGUUUGCUGGAGGGAUCACAGCUUCUAAAGAUUCCCUUUUAGACUCAGAGGUUUGUUUGCUGCCUUCUUGACGUCUGGUUUCCUGUUUUCCUUGCUACCUGCUGAGCAGGAGACUUGGGACAGACCUAAGUGGGGAACAGUUUGCUGUGCUAUUAUAUCCUACCAGCAAAAUACGUGAUUUUCUAGCUGUACCUUAAACCUUAAGCUUCUUCUGGAAGAG
Molecule: long non-coding RNA, 1356 nt
Filed under: Phasianus colchicus (ring-necked pheasant)
Lineage: Eukaryota; Metazoa; Chordata; Aves; Galliformes; Phasianidae
Description: lncRNA (ENSPCLG00000006703.1)
Source: RNAcentral